CUUCCUUCACCAAAUCGCACUGGCUCCCGGGCUCCUCCUUCCUAUCUUCACGAACUGCCGCUCGCUCCUCAGUCCUAGUUUCACCAAAAACUGGCUCCUGGAAUCCUGUCUUCUAAAAGCCGUAUUUUUUAUCUUCUAGUUUUCCUAUCUUCACUAAUCUUUUCUUCACCUUCCUGUACUUGUCUUCCGAUCAUGUUCUAAUAUUAUCUUUUUUCUUCUUUCUUCCUUUCUCACACUAUUUUUUAAGGACGUCUCCAUUUUCCCCUAAAAUAAGACCUUCUUAUUAAUUAUCAAAUCUACUCUCACGAAUUUAACUCAAAACUACAGCUCAGUAUUUUCGCUAAUUUAUAAUUCCUAGAGAAUAAGAGUAAUCCCUAUCUUAACAGAAAAACUUAUCUGCGGUCUCCUCAAGAAGCGUUUCCUGCCUCUCAGCCGUCUCUGCUCUCGCUGCCUCAAUGCCUGCCUCCCGACCCGCAGCGCGCGGCGUAUUUAUAGCCCAAGGACACCUCACACCCCCGUCAUCCAAUAACCCUCCGCCGCCUUUGUGAGGGAAGCAAAAAUAGUUCCUCGGAAGGAGUUAAAAAUAGAAUCUGGUUUAUAAGACUCUAGGUUUUUCCUUAACAGUUUAUAUAACUUGCUCGCAAACUCUGUACCCAGAUGUUUAAGUAGAUUUGAACUGAAAACUUGAGUAAAAACAAUGGAAACCACGUUUAAACAGACCAUCAAACAGCUGACAAAAACUCAGAAUUACUUGGAAAUGUUUUAGUAGCUUUUAAAAUACCUUCUGUGUUUCCUUGGAGUACAGUAGGUACAAUUUAGUGCUUUGGAGGCUAGGAAAGUAAAACUAAGUUUGCUGAUGGCCUUCAUUUCCAUUAUGUAACAGAGCUUCAGCCUCACAAAUAGAGCGGAGCCAUCUUAGAAGGACCGAAGGGUGGGAGUUUCGCCCCCAUGGGCCGCAGGUCCUGAGGAUUAUACCACACCGUCUUGAUUGCCAUUUUAUUCGUGAGAUCCGAUCAGCCCAGGUGAUCUAUGUAAGAAUUGGACUAAAUGUGGAAAUCCACUUCUGGAAAAUGUCUGACAGCCACUCUUUACCACUGUUGCCUGCAACAGAGCUGGUCACGCAUCGCAAGGGAUUAGGACCAAAAUUGAGGCAUCCAGCACCCCGUGUUUCCCACCUGGGUGGAAAAGCGGAGGGAAGCGCCAGGGCGGAACUGGCUGCUGUGUCUCAAGGACUCUAGGAGAAGCCUCGGUCCCCAGGGCGGCAAAGGGGACCCGAGUGAGGCUUGAGGACUUAGAAAUGACAAUGGCGCCAGGGAGCGUCCCAGAUACCGGCUUCCAAGCGGCUAAAGCGGCUGAGGCGCGAAGAAGAAGCAGGUAAGAGGCCGAGCGGGGUGGGCGCGAGCCCCCGGGGCCGAGGGGGUGGGGGACGGGUUUCCCGGCCCAGCGCUGCCCGCGGCCGCAGAAAAGGGAGAAGCGG
This 1477-nucleotide long non-coding RNA is filed under the name Sus scrofa (pig). RNAcentral's name for it is "lncRNA (ENSSSCG00025075984.1)". The record is from RNAcentral. Lineage: Eukaryota; Metazoa; Chordata; Mammalia; Artiodactyla; Suidae.